GUUCUACUGCGGUGUUGGUGACUGCCAAUAAAGUUUUAUGAUCUAUGCCUUGAGAUAACGGGAACCCCUGUAGUUCUAGCGGCAGUAUGCCGGCCAGUAACCGGACACGAAAGCUAUCGAACCUGGGUACCCACCUGGUGCAACCAGGUCAAAAACUGAGGUAAGACGACACUGCGGUAAACCU
This 184-nucleotide non-coding RNA is filed under the name Hormoscilla sp. GM7CHS1pb. RNAcentral's name for it is "6S RNA". It matches the Rfam family "6S / SsrS RNA". From Rfam's summary of the family: E. coli 6S RNA was the first non coding RNA to be sequenced, but its function was unknown until recently. It consists of 184 nucleotides that fold into an extended hairpin structure with a large single-stranded internal bulge. The 6S RNA specifically associates with RNA polymerase holoenzyme containing the sigma70 specificity factor. The record is from RNAcentral. Lineage: Bacteria; Bacillati; Cyanobacteriota; Cyanophyceae; Gomontiellales; Gomontiellaceae.